AGCAUGAACUUCAACAUCACAUUUCGCACAAAGCGCCGCUUCAUCCGCACAACAAAUCACAGUAGCAGGAGCUUUCUCACAAACAUCACACUGUAUUUUCAUCUUCUCCUUCUGGACUACCACACCAAUUUUCAAUAAAUUCCCGGAAACCCCUCUUCCCCCCUUUCCUACUCGAAGAUCAACGAACCCAUGAACUUCUGAUGAAAAACAGUAACUCCUAACGCCGCUAGAACACAACCGCCGGAGAGAUGGAAGAGAAAAUGGAAGAGAAGAAGAAGGGAAAGUGGGUGUUUGAGAAUAAAAACGGAGAAAGAAGGGGAUAGAGAAAGAGGAGUAAAU
RNAcentral lists this unclassified non-coding RNA (339 nucleotides) under Hevea brasiliensis (rubber tree). The record is from RNAcentral. Lineage: Eukaryota; Viridiplantae; Streptophyta; Magnoliopsida; Malpighiales; Euphorbiaceae.